ACUAGGAUUAGAUACCCUACUUAUUAAAAUUUAAAUUGAAAAUACUAAAAUAGUAGAUAAUUAUUUAUUGAAACUUAAAUAAUUUGGCGGUAUUUUAGUUCAUUUAGAGGAAUCUGUUUAAUAAUUGAUAAUCCACGAAUAAAUUUACUUAAUUUUUUAUUUUGUAUAUCGUUGUUAAAAAAAAUAUUUUUUAAUAAUAAUAAUA
Molecule: ribosomal RNA, 205 nt
Filed under: Spodoptera frugiperda (fall armyworm)
Lineage: Eukaryota; Metazoa; Arthropoda; Insecta; Lepidoptera; Noctuidae
Description: partial small subunit ribosomal RNA
Source: RNAcentral